RNAcentral lists this ribosomal RNA (305 nucleotides) under uncultured bacterium. Its description in RNAcentral is "bacterial SSU rRNA". It matches the Rfam family "Bacterial small subunit ribosomal RNA", at positions 28 to 335 of the family's 1533-position model. The record is from RNAcentral.
GACGAACGCUGGCGGCGUGCUUAACACAUGCAAGUCGAGCGGUAAGGCCCUUUCGGGGGUACACGAGCGGCGAACGGGUGAGUAACACGUGGGUGACCUGCCCUCAGCUCUGGGAUAAGCCUGGGAAACCGGGUCUAAUACCGGAUAUGACUCCAUGACGCAUGUUGUGGGGUGAAAGCCUUGUGCGGCUGAGGAGUGGGCCCGCGGCCUAUCAGCUUGUUGGUGGGGUGAUGGCCUACCAAGGCGACGACGGUAGCCGGCCUGAGAGGGCGACCGGCCACACUGGGACUGAGACACGGCCCAGA